GAAGGUCACGGCGAGACGAGCCGUUUAUCAUUACGAUAGGUGUCAAGUGGAAGUGCAGUGAUGUAUGUAGCUGAGGCAUCCUAACAGACCGGGCGACUUGAAC
This 103-nucleotide ribosomal RNA is filed under the name Brucea javanica. RNAcentral describes it as "4.5S ribosomal RNA". The record is from RNAcentral. Lineage: Eukaryota; Viridiplantae; Streptophyta; Magnoliopsida; Sapindales; Simaroubaceae.